Molecule: unclassified non-coding RNA, 673 nt
Filed under: Hevea brasiliensis (rubber tree)
Lineage: Eukaryota; Viridiplantae; Streptophyta; Magnoliopsida; Malpighiales; Euphorbiaceae
Source: RNAcentral
GAUAUAGUAUGGCCUGGCUUCUUUUCUUCUUUGCUAAAGCAACAAGGAUUUCUCCUGAACUGCUUAAGUCCAUCUCGACCAAACCCAAAGCCAUCCCUGUAAAUCAUGGAUGCCUCUACAUUAUCAAUAAUAUCACAAGUAAUGUCACCGGCUUCACCAUCCGACUCCCAAAUGCAAAUUCUGGGAAAAUUUCUUUCUGUCAUACUUCCCCUUGAUCCAUCCACGGAUGACCUCUUCUUCCCCAUAUUCAUCACUAGCAACCCACAAUCUUCAUCAGCCAUUAAAGGUGCAGCUAACUUGUGACCAAAAAAUCCCCCCAAAACAUCUUCUUUAGCACUGAAAUCAACACUUUCUUUCUUAACAGAGCCGUGGCUGUUAGUUCUACUGUUUGCUGGAUAAAAAGUACCAUUAAGAAUUUGGUUUUGAUGUUGCUGAUUCUUAGCAUCUUUACUCCAACACCCAAUAUAACAACUCCCAUCAGGCCAAGUGAAAACUCCAUGACCUUUAGGACCACCAGCUUCCCAAUUUCCAUCAUAUCUAUUUCCAUUUGCCCAAAUCAAAACACCUCUACCAUGAAUAUCCCCAGUUUUCCAUUCACCAACAUACUCGUUUCCAUUCUUCCAAACAUAUCUACCUUGUCCAUCUUGUAAAUUCCUUUUCCAUAGCCCUUCAU